Molecule: ribosomal RNA, 425 nt
Filed under: Haptophyta environmental samples
Lineage: Eukaryota; Haptophyta
Description: SSU rRNA
Rfam family: Eukaryotic small subunit ribosomal RNA
Source: RNAcentral
UCCUGACACAGGGAGGUAGUGACAAGAAAUAACAAUACAGGGCUAUUUUAGUCUUGUAAUUGGAAUGAGUACAAUUUACAUCUCUUCACGAGGAUCAAUUGGAGGGCAAGCCUGGUGCCAGCAGCCGCGGUAAUUCCAGCUCCAAUAGCGUAUAUUAAAGUUGUUGCAGUUAAAACGCUCGUAGUCGGAUUUCGGGGCGAACCCACCGGUCUGCCGUUGGGUAUGCACUGGUGGGCGCGUCCUUCCUUCCGGAGACCGUUCCUACUCUUAGCUGAGCGGGGACGGGAGACGGAUCGUUUACUUUGAAAAAAUCAGAGUGUUUCAAGCAGGCAUUUGCUCUUGCAUGGAUUAGCAUGGGAUAAUGAAAUAGGACUUUGGUGCUAUUUUGUUGGUUUCGAACACCGAAGUAAUGAUUAACAGGGACA